UAUUGAAUAAAUAACUGAUUUAUCAAUGC
Molecule: non-coding RNA, 29 nt
Filed under: Rattus norvegicus (Norway rat)
Lineage: Eukaryota; Metazoa; Chordata; Mammalia; Rodentia; Muridae
Source: RNAcentral